UACGUAGGGGGCAAGCGUUGUCCGGAAUCAUUGGGCGUAAAGCGCGUGUAGGCGGUCAGAAAAGUCCGCUGUGAAAACUCGAGGCUCAACUUCGAGCUGUCGGUGGAAACUUUCUGGCUAGAGUCCGGAAGAGGAGAAUGGAAUUCCUGGUGUAGCGGUGAAAUGCGCAGAUAUCAGGAAGAACACCCGUGGCGAAGGCGGUUCUCUGGGACGGUACUGACGCUGAGACGCGAAAGCGUGGGGAGCGAACAGG
Molecule: ribosomal RNA, 253 nt
Filed under: uncultured bacterium
Lineage: Bacteria
Description: partial 16S ribosomal RNA
Rfam family: Bacterial small subunit ribosomal RNA
Source: RNAcentral